RNAcentral lists this ribosomal RNA (2904 nucleotides) under Escherichia coli. RNAcentral's name for it is "bacterial LSU rRNA". It matches the Rfam family "Bacterial large subunit ribosomal RNA". Lineage: Bacteria; Pseudomonadati; Pseudomonadota; Gammaproteobacteria; Enterobacterales; Enterobacteriaceae. The record is from RNAcentral.
UUAAGCGACUAAGCGUACACGGUGGAUGCCCUGGCAGUCAGAGGCGAUGAAGGACGUGCUAAUCUGCGAUAAGCGUCGGUAAGGUGAUAUGAACCGUUAUAACCGGCGAUUUCCGAAUGGGGAAACCCAGUGUGUUUCGACACACUAUCAUUAACUGAAUCCAUAGGUUAAUGAGGCGAACCGGGGGAACUGAAACAUCUAAGUACCCCGAGGAAAAGAAAUCAACCGAGAUUCCCCCAGUAGCGGCGAGCGAACGGGGAGGAGCCCAGAGCCUGAAUCAGUAUGUGUGUUAGUGGAAGCGUCUGGAAAGGCGCGCGAUACAGGGUGACAGCCCCGUACACAAAAAUGCACAUAUUGUGAGCUCGAUGAGUAGGGCGGGACACGUGGUAUCCUGUCUGAAUAUGGGGGGACCAUCCUCCAAGGCUAAAUACUCCUGACUGACCGAUAGUGAACCAGUACCGUGAGGGAAAGGCGAAAAGAACCCCGGCGAGGGGAGUGAAAAAGAACCUGAAACCGUGUACGUACAAGCAGUGGGAGCACGCUUCGGCGUGUGACUGCGUACCUUUUGUAUAAUGGGUCAGCGACUUAUAUUCUGUAGCAAGGUUAACCGAAUAGGGGAGCCGAAGGGAAACCGAGUCUUAACUGGGCGUUAAGUUGCAGGGUAUAGACCCGAAACCCGGUGAUCUAGCCAUGGGCAGGUUGAAGGUUGGGUAACACUAACUGGAGGACCGAACCGACUAAUGUUGAAAAAUUAGCGGAUGACUUGUGGCUGGGGGUGAAAGGCCAAUCAAACCGGGAGAUAGCUGGUUCUCCCCGAAAGCUAUUUAGGUAGCGCCUCGUGAACUCAUCUCCGGGGGUAGAGCACUGUUUCGGCAAGGGGGUCAUCCCGACUUACCAACCCGAUGCAAACUGCGAAUACCGGAGAAUGUUAUCACGGGAGACACACGGCGGGUGCUAACGUCCGUCGUGAAGAGGGAAACAACCCAGACCGCCAGCUAAGGUCCCAAAGUCAUGGUUAAGUGGGAAACGAUGUGGGAAGGCCCAGACAGCCAGGAUGUUGGCUUAGAAGCAGCCAUCAUUUAAAGAAAGCGUAAUAGCUCACUGGUCGAGUCGGCCUGCGCGGAAGAUGUAACGGGGCUAAACCAUGCACCGAAGCUGCGGCAGCGACGCUGAUGCGUUGUUGGGUAGGGGAGCGUUCUGUAAGCCUGCGAAGGUGUGCUGUGAGGCAUGCUGGAGGUAUCAGAAGUGCGAAUGCUGACAUAAGUAACGAUAAAGCGGGUGAAAAGCCCGCUCGCCGGAAGACCAAGGGUUCCUGUCCAACGUUAAUCGGGGCAGGGUGAGUCGACCCCUAAGGCGAGGCCGAAAGGCGUAGUCGAUGGGAAACAGGUUAAUAUUCCUGUACUUGGUGUUACUGCGAAGGGGGGACGGAGAAGGCUAUGUUGGCCGGGCGACGGUUGUCCCGGUUUAAGCGUGUAGGCUGGUUUUCCAGGCAAAUCCGGAAAAUCAAGGCUGAGGCGUGAUGACGAGGCACUACGGUGCUGAAGCAACAAAUGCCCUGCUUCCAGGAAAAGCCUCUAAGCAUCAGGUAACAUCAAAUCGUACCCCAAACCGACACAGGUGGUCAGGUAGAGAAUACCAAGGCGCUUGAGAGAACUCGGGUGAAGGAACUAGGCAAAAUGGUGCCGUAACUUCGGGAGAAGGCACGCUGAUAUGUAGGUGAGGUCCCUCGCGGAUGGAGCUGAAAUCAGUCGAAGAUACCAGCUGGCUGCAACUGUUUAUUAAAAACACAGCACUGUGCAAACACGAAAGUGGACGUAUACGGUGUGACGCCUGCCCGGUGCCGGAAGGUUAAUUGAUGGGGUUAGCGGUAACGCGAAGCUCUUGAUCGAAGCCCCGGUAAACGGCGGCCGUAACUAUAACGGUCCUAAGGUAGCGAAAUUCCUUGUCGGGUAAGUUCCGACCUGCACGAAUGGCGUAAUGAUGGCCAGGCUGUCUCCACCCGAGACUCAGUGAAAUUGAACUCGCUGUGAAGAUGCAGUGUACCCGCGGCAAGACGGAAAGACCCCGUGAACCUUUACUAUAGCUUGACACUGAACAUUGAGCCUUGAUGUGUAGGAUAGGUGGGAGGCUUUGAAGUGUGGACGCCAGUCUGCAUGGAGCCGACCUUGAAAUACCACCCUUUAAUGUUUGAUGUUCUAACGUUGACCCGUAAUCCGGGUUGCGGACAGUGUCUGGUGGGUAGUUUGACUGGGGCGGUCUCCUCCUAAAGAGUAACGGAGGAGCACGAAGGUUGGCUAAUCCUGGUCGGACAUCAGGAGGUUAGUGCAAUGGCAUAAGCCAGCUUGACUGCGAGCGUGACGGCGCGAGCAGGUGCGAAAGCAGGUCAUAGUGAUCCGGUGGUUCUGAAUGGAAGGGCCAUCGCUCAACGGAUAAAAGGUACUCCGGGGAUAACAGGCUGAUACCGCCCAAGAGUUCAUAUCGACGGCGGUGUUUGGCACCUCGAUGUCGGCUCAUCACAUCCUGGGGCUGAAGUAGGUCCCAAGGGUAUGGCUGUUCGCCAUUUAAAGUGGUACGCGAGCUGGGUUUAGAACGUCGUGAGACAGUUCGGUCCCUAUCUGCCGUGGGCGCUGGAGAACUGAGGGGGGCUGCUCCUAGUACGAGAGGACCGGAGUGGACGCAUCACUGGUGUUCGGGUUGUCAUGCCAAUGGCACUGCCCGGUAGCUAAAUGCGGAAGAGAUAAGUGCUGAAAGCAUCUAAGCACGAAACUUGCCCCGAGAUGAGUUCUCCCUGACCCUUUAAGGGUCCUGAAGGAACGUUGAAGACGACGACGUUGAUAGGCCGGGUGUGUAAGCGCAGCGAUGCGUUGAGCUAACCGGUACUAAUGAACCGUGAGGCUUAACCUU